AUUGGGUGUGGUGAUGUGUGCCUGUAGUCUUAGCUACUUGGGAGGUUGAGGUAGGAGGAUCACUUGAGCCCAGGAGUUUGAGGCUGCAGUGAACUAUAAUCAUGCCACUGCACUCCAGCCUGGGCAACAGAGUGAGACCCCAUCUCUA
Unclassified non-coding RNA from Pongo abelii (Sumatran orangutan), 148 nucleotides. It matches the Rfam family "Metazoan signal recognition particle RNA". From Rfam's summary of the family: The signal recognition particle (SRP) is a universally conserved ribonucleoprotein. It is involved in the co-translational targeting of proteins to membranes. The record is from Ensembl. Lineage: Eukaryota; Metazoa; Chordata; Mammalia; Primates; Hominidae.